AUACGGAGGGUGCAAGCGUUAAUCGGGAUUACUGGGCGUAAAGCGCUCGUAGGCGGUUUGUUAAGUCGGAUGUGAAAGCCCCGGGCUCAACCUGGGAACUGCAUUCGAUACUGGCAAACUAGAGUAUAGUAGAGGCAAGUGGAAUUCCGGGUGUAGCGGUGAAAUGCGUAGAUAUCCGGAGGAACAUCAGUGGCGAAGGCGACUUGCUGGACUAAUACUGACGCUGAGGAGCGAAAGCGUGGGGAGCAAACGGGAUUAGAAACCCCUGUAGUCC
This 274-nucleotide ribosomal RNA is filed under the name uncultured bacterium. RNAcentral describes it as "partial 16S ribosomal RNA". It matches the Rfam family "Bacterial small subunit ribosomal RNA", at positions 523 to 796 of the family's 1533-position model. The record is from RNAcentral.